This 30-nucleotide non-coding RNA is filed under the name Rattus norvegicus (Norway rat). Lineage: Eukaryota; Metazoa; Chordata; Mammalia; Rodentia; Muridae. The record is from RNAcentral.
UGACUUUGUAGGAUUCCAGGAAGCCAGAGA